CUGCAAAGCGCCUCUCGUUGGGGGCGGAGGGGAAUCCAGGGGCAGCUUGGGCUGGGGCCGGGCGCGCUCUGCUCGCCCUGACCAUUAUGCCAGUGGCGUGGCAUGGCCCCCCCGAGCGCGGCUGCAGCGCGUUGAUCCUUCAGGUUCUGACGCGUGAUGAAUGGGGUUUGCACACGGCUGUGUGAGAUGUGCCGUCCUUCUUUGUUACGACGGGGCACAGUACCCAUCUGACCGGAACCUGGGGGACGCGAGCAUUACGGGGUAAUGGGGGUUGUUUCAGGAGGUGUAAAGACACUACAUUGUGAGUUAUAGGGGGUGGGGUUAUGUGCACGUAUUUGUUGCGUUUUGGUUGUUUCUUUUUAGGGAUGAUUGCAGACUGCAAAUCGAUCCCCCUGAAUACAGCUGAGUUUGGAAAAUACAUAAAGGCUCCCAGAGAACAAAGAUGGAAUACAGAGCUGCUACUGGAAGAGCUGGGAUAGAGGCACAGAUGUUAUGUCUCUGCAAUUUAUCCAUCAGCCACUAAACUCUGCUUUUACUAGCCUGAGAGAAAGGGCCCAAGAAACACUUAGGGACUCAAAACUAAAGAAGCAUGUGUCAGGCUUUAAUUGCAUGGCUCAGGGAAACAGUUCUACCUGAGAAAUAAUACGAUAUUGUGUCUCUCUGGAUGGCAGGUGAGAUGUCCCUGUAGACUUCCAUUCUUCUCAUGCUGUGGCUAUAUUUGUGUAUGUGUGUCAUGAGCAGAUGACAUAUGCAAGCUCAUGAAUUGCAAGACUUAAACAUCCUUUGGUGGGGCUGGAAAUAAGUAGUUGUGCUUUACCACUAAGGAUCAGGAAGAAAACAGUUUUUCACCUUGUGGUCUGAAGAAUGAGGAUUAAUAACCCAUGCAUUUUUGUCCCUCCCACUGUCACUGCAGCUUAAGAACAUAAGAGCAACCAGACCAAAGGUCCAUCUAGCCCAGUAUCCUGUCUUCUGACAGUGGCCAAUGCCAGGUGCCCCAGAGGGAAUGAACAGAACAGGUAAUCAUCAAGUGAUCCAUCCCCUGUUACCCAUUCCCAGCUUCUGGCAAACAGAGGCGAGGGACACCAUCCCUGCCC
Molecule: long non-coding RNA, 1094 nt
Filed under: Terrapene triunguis (Three-toed box turtle)
Lineage: Eukaryota; Metazoa; Chordata; Testudines; Emydidae
Description: Terrapene carolina triunguis (Three-toed box turtle) lncRNA (ENSTMTG00000001127.1)
Rfam family: Small nucleolar RNA U13 (bases 135-233)
Source: RNAcentral